This is a non-coding RNA of Cicer arietinum (chickpea), 697 nucleotides long. Lineage: Eukaryota; Viridiplantae; Streptophyta; Magnoliopsida; Fabales; Fabaceae. The record is from RefSeq and is a predicted model, not a curated record.
UAACUCAUUAUCUCCAUCGAUUAAUUAUUCUCUCGUACUUGAUGAAGCUACUACAAACAACAGACUUUGUGAGACUGUUACUGGACCGUACAAAGGAAACAAAGCUUACGGUUAUGGAAACUUGGUCCCCCCCAAGAAUAGAGGUAGAAGUCUUUAUCAGCAAAUUGUUGAUGGAGAAGGGUCUUCUAGUCCCCGGAAGUUAACGCUAAUAAAAUAAAUGAAUCAGUAGAUGACACAACAGCUAAAUCAACAACUGUCACGUAGUCAAAUGGAGGACCAAAAUUUGAGAGUCAAACUACAGCUGUUGGAGUAGCAUGAGAAACAAAUGAUGAAGCAACAAAAAAAAAUGUUUGAGAUGAUGCAGAAUCAAUAAAGAACUUAUCAAAAGAUGGAAAGGUGAUUCAGAAUAGCCAGAACCGCAAUCAUUGUCAUCCAUCGCCAAAUAUUUGGAUAUCGAGUUUCGGUGGCCACUAUGGAGGAGCUUAGGUGACCCCGUGACGGGAUGCAGAAGAGCUCCAACAACCCCCACAAUAUCAGUUGGUGGAGUUUUGGCAAGUGGCAAGUCAAGGUGGUCGGUGGUGGAGUGAUAAGACCGCAAAUAUAAGAUAUUAUUGCAUAGUAAAAGUUAUUGUUCCUAUAAGCAUUUUGUUAUAAGUAUCAAUUUUUCUUUGCUAUGAUGAUGAACUAACACUCUGAU